AAUGCGGAAGAGAUAAGUGCUGAAAGCAUCUAAGCACGAAACUUGCCCCGAGAUGAGUUCUCCCUGAGACUUUAAGUCUCCUGAAGGAACGUUGAAGACGACGACGUUGAUAGGCCGGGUGUGUAAGCGCAGCGAUGCGUUGAGCUAACCGGUACUAAUGAACCGUGAGGCUUAACCUUACAACGCCGAAG
RNAcentral lists this ribosomal RNA (191 nucleotides) under Escherichia coli O53. Its description in RNAcentral is "partial 23S ribosomal RNA". It matches the Rfam family "Bacterial large subunit ribosomal RNA", at positions 2752 to 2925 of the family's 2925-position model. The record is from RNAcentral. Lineage: Bacteria; Pseudomonadati; Pseudomonadota; Gammaproteobacteria; Enterobacterales; Enterobacteriaceae.